Molecule: transfer RNA, 70 nt
Filed under: Monopenchelys acuta (redface moray)
Lineage: Eukaryota; Metazoa; Chordata; Actinopteri; Anguilliformes; Muraenidae
Description: tRNA-Ile
Source: RNAcentral
GGAAAAGUGCCUGAAGUUAAAGGGUUACUUUGAUAGAGUAAAUCAUGAGAGCUAAACCUCUCCUUUUCCU